UACAGAGGUCUCAAGCGUUGUUCGGAUUCAUUGGGCGUAAAGGGUGCGUAGGUGGCGGGGUAAGUCAGGUGUGAAAUCUCGAGGCUCAACCUCGAAACUGCACUUGAUACUGCCUUGCUCGAGUACUGGAGAGGAGAUUGGAAUUUACGGUGUAGCAGUGAAAUGCGUAGAUAUCGUAAGGAAGACCAGUGGCGAAGGCGAAUCUCUGGACAGUUACUGACACUGAGAGACGAAAGCUAGGGGAGCGAAUGGG
Molecule: ribosomal RNA, 253 nt
Filed under: uncultured bacterium
Lineage: Bacteria
Description: partial 16S ribosomal RNA
Rfam family: Bacterial small subunit ribosomal RNA
Source: RNAcentral